CCUACGGGAGGCAGCAGUGGGGAAUUUUGGACAAUGGGCGCAAGCCUGAUCCAGCAAUGCCGCGUGAGUGAAGAAGGCCUUCGGGUUGUAAAGCUCUUUUGUCAGGGAAGAAACGGUGAGUUCUAAUACAGUUCACUAAUGACGGUACCUGAAGAAUAAGCACCGGCUAACUACGUGCCAGCAGCCGCGGGUAAU
This 195-nucleotide ribosomal RNA is filed under the name uncultured bacterium. Its description in RNAcentral is "partial 16S ribosomal RNA". It matches the Rfam family "Bacterial small subunit ribosomal RNA", at positions 338 to 524 of the family's 1533-position model. The record is from RNAcentral.